GAUGAACGCUGGCGGCGUGCUUAACACAUGCAAGUCGAACGGAAAGGCCCAAGCUUGCUUGGGUACUCGAGUGGCGAACGGGUGAGUAACACGUGGGUGAUCUGCCCUGCACUUCGGGAUAAGCCUGGGAAACUGGGUCUAAUACCGGAUAGGACCACAUUUUGGAUGGUGUGGUGGAAAGUUUUUCGGUGUGGGAUGAGCUCGCGGCCUAUCAGCUUGUUGGUGGGGUAAUGGCCUACCAAGGCGUCGACGGGUAGCCGGCCUGAGAGGGUGUACGGCCACAUUGGGACUGAGGUACGGCCCAGACUCCUACGGGAGGCAGCAGUGGGGAAUAUUGCACAAUGGGCGCAAGCCUGAUGCAGCGACGCCGCGUGGGGGAUGACGGCCUUCGGGUUGUAAACUCCUUUCGCUAGGGACGAAGCGCAAGUGACGGUACCUGGAGAAGAAGCACCGGCUAACUACGUG
This 465-nucleotide ribosomal RNA is filed under the name uncultured bacterium. RNAcentral's name for it is "partial 16S ribosomal RNA". It matches the Rfam family "Bacterial small subunit ribosomal RNA", at positions 28 to 507 of the family's 1533-position model. The record is from RNAcentral.